GGUCUGAUUAGUGGCGAACGGGUGAGUAACACGUGAGUAACCUGCCCUCCACUUCGGGAUAACCUCGGGAAAUCGUGGCUAAUACCGGAUAUGAAUCCUUGUCGCAUGGCGGGGGUUGGAAAGAUUUAUCGGUGGGGGAUGGACUCGCGGCCUAUCAGUUUGUUGGUGAGGUAAUGGCUCACCAAGACGAUGACGGGUAGCCGGCCUGAGAGGGCGACCGGCCACACUGGGACUGAGACACGGCCCAGACUCCUACGGGAGGCAGCAGUGGGGAAUAUUGCACAAUGGGCGAAAGCCUGAUGCAGCGACGCCGCGUGAGGGAUGACGGCCUUCGGGUUGUAAACCUCUUUCAGUAGGGAAGAAGCGAGAGUGACGGUACCUGCAGAAGAAGCGCCGGCUAACUACGUGCCAGCAGCCGCGGUAAUACGUAGGGCGCAAGCGUUGUCCGGAAUUAUUGGGCGUAAAGAGCUUGUAGGUGGCUUGUCGCGUCUGCCGUGAAAACCCGAGGCUCAACCUCGGGCGUGCGGUGGGUACGGGCAGGCUAGAGUGUGGUAGGGGAGACUGGAACUCCUGGUGUAGCGGUGAAAUGCGCAGAUAUC
This 599-nucleotide ribosomal RNA is filed under the name Brachybacterium massiliense. RNAcentral's name for it is "bacterial SSU rRNA". It matches the Rfam family "Bacterial small subunit ribosomal RNA", at positions 85 to 698 of the family's 1533-position model. The record is from RNAcentral. Lineage: Bacteria; Bacillati; Actinomycetota; Actinomycetes; Micrococcales; Dermabacteraceae.